UCUGAACUCUAGAACCCGUGUAAUAAAGGUGGAGAGUUUGUAAUUGCAGUUCUGGGAGACAGAGGCAAGUGGAUUCCUGGGGCUUGCUCUCAUCCAGCCCAGCUGGACCAGCAUCCCAAAACACAAGGCUGGCCUGGCUCUCUCCCCAGUAGUGUAUCCCGGACACUUGCUGUUUCUCCUGGACAAAGCCUAACAGAAAACCCAGCACAAUGAAAAUGCUCAGUAACUUUAUUGGAUUGGAUCACAAGAGCCCCUACUCCAUGGACCGACUGUCGGAAGACAGCAGACCUGAUGGCAGAGGAGUUGGUUAUGUUGGCUGCAAACAGCACUGUCUUAAUUAAGCAUGUCAGGGCCUAGGUUUGGAGGAAAUGAUGCCCGUAUGCACAAGAUCUGAAUAGCUCAAGUCCUGGAGGAGGCAGUAGCAGCCUGGAUCCUAGAGACUUCUGGCAAACAGACAGCUGAAGGAGUUGCAGGGGGAGGGAUCUCUUCUCAUUUGGACUUGGAGAGCUGAACUCUACCAUGACGGGAAGGACUUCCCCAUGCAAGGUCACAAUGAAUAAACCUAUCUUCCUGUGCUGGAUAGUUUUAUGUCAAUUUGACACAAGCUA
Mus musculus (house mouse) is the source of this 608-nucleotide long non-coding RNA. RefSeq annotates it as predicted gene, 39845. The transcript is spliced from 3 exons. Lineage: Eukaryota; Metazoa; Chordata; Mammalia; Rodentia; Muridae. The record is from RefSeq and is a predicted model, not a curated record.